GAUGAACGCUGGCGGCGUGCCUAAUACAUGCAAGUCGAGCGAACGGACGAGAAGCUUGCUUCUCUGAUGUUAGCGGCGGACGGGUGAGUAACACGUGGAUAACCUACCUAUAAGACUGGGAUAACUUCGGGAAACCGGAGCUAAUACCGGAUAAUAUUUUGAACCGCAUGGUUCAAAAGUGAAAGACGGUCUUGCUGUCACUUAUAGAUGGAUCCGCGCUGCAUUAGCUAGUUGGUAAGGUAACGGCUUACCAAGGCAACGAUGCAUAGCCGACCUGAGAGGGUGAUCGGCCACAUGGGAAGGGAGACACGCUCCGGACUCCUACGGGAGGCAGCAGAAGGGAAUCUUCCGCAAUGGUCGAAAGCCUGACGGAGCAACGCCGCGUGAGUGAUGAAGGUCUUCGGAUCGUAAAACUCGGUUAUUGGGGAAAAACAUAUGUGUAAGUAACUGUGCACAUCUUGACGGUACCUAAUCAGAAAGCCCCGGCUAACUACGUG
RNAcentral lists this ribosomal RNA (497 nucleotides) under uncultured bacterium. RNAcentral describes it as "partial 16S ribosomal RNA". It matches the Rfam family "Bacterial small subunit ribosomal RNA", at positions 28 to 507 of the family's 1533-position model. The record is from RNAcentral.